RNAcentral lists this ribosomal RNA (468 nucleotides) under uncultured bacterium. Its description in RNAcentral is "partial 16S ribosomal RNA". It matches the Rfam family "Bacterial small subunit ribosomal RNA", at positions 28 to 507 of the family's 1533-position model. The record is from RNAcentral.
GAUGAACGCUGGCGGCGUGCUUAACACAUGCAAGUCGAACGGUGAAGGCGGAGCUUGCUCUGCUGGAUCAGUGGCGAACGGGUGAGUAACACGUGAGCAAUCUGCCCCUGACUCUGGGAUAAGCGCUGGAAACGGCGUCUAAUACUGGAUACGAGCUGCGAAGGCAUCUUCAGCAGCUGGAAAGAACUUCGGUCAGGGAUGAGCUCGCGGCCUAUCAGCUUGUUGGUGAGGUAACGGCUCACCAAGGCGUCGACGGGUAGCCGGCCUGAGAGGGUGACCGGCCACACUGGGACUGAGACACGGCCCAGACUCCUACGGGAGGCAGAAGGGGGGAAUAUUGCACAAUGGGCGAAAGCCUGAUGCAGCAACGCCGCGUGAGGGACGACGGCCUUCGGGUUGUAAACCUCUUUUAGCAGGGAAGAAGCGAAAGUGACGGUACCUGCAGAAAAAGCGCCGGCUAACUACGUG